GACGAACGCUGGCGGCGUGCUUAACACAUGCAAGUCGAACGGAAAGGCCCUGCUUUUGUGGGGUGCUCGAGUGGCGAACGGGUGAGUAACACGUGAGUAACCUGCCCUUGACUUUGGGAUAACUUCAGGAAACUGGGGCUAAUACCGGAUAGGAGCUCCUGCUGCAUGGUGGGGGUUGGAAAGUUUCGGUGGUUGGGGAUGGACUCGCGGCUUAUCAGCUUGUUGGUGGGGUAGUGGCUUACCAAGGCUUUGACGGGUAGCCGGCCUGAGAGGGUGACCGGCCACAUUGGGACUGAGAUACGGCCCAGACUCCUACGGGAGGCAGCAGUGGGGAAUAUUGCACAAUGGGCGGAAGCCUGAUGCAGCAACGCCGCGUGCGGGAUGACGGCCUUCGGGUUGUAAACCGCUUUCGCCUGUGACGAAGCGCGAGUGACGGUAAUGGGUAAAGAAGCACCGGCUAACUACGUG
This 468-nucleotide ribosomal RNA is filed under the name uncultured bacterium. RNAcentral's name for it is "partial 16S ribosomal RNA". It matches the Rfam family "Bacterial small subunit ribosomal RNA", at positions 28 to 507 of the family's 1533-position model. The record is from RNAcentral.